RNAcentral lists this ribosomal RNA (406 nucleotides) under uncultured bacterium. Its description in RNAcentral is "partial 16S ribosomal RNA". It matches the Rfam family "Bacterial small subunit ribosomal RNA", at positions 30 to 526 of the family's 1533-position model. The record is from RNAcentral.
AUUGAACGCUGGCGGCAGGCCUAACACAUGCAAGUCUAACGAGUGGCGGACGGGUGAGUAAUGUCUGGGAAACUGCCUGAUGGAGGGGGAUAACUACUGGACACGGUAGCUAAUAACGCAUACCAUCAGAUGUGCCCAGAUGGGAUUAGCUAGUUGGUGGGGUAACGGCUCCCCAAGGCGACGCUCCCCAGCUGGUCUGAGAGGAUGACCAGCCACACUGGAACUGAGACACGUCCCCGACUCCUACGGGAGGCAGCAGUGGGGAAUAUGGCACAAUGUGCGCAAGCCGGAUGCAGCCAUGCAGCGUGUAGGAAGAAGGCCUUCGGGUUGUAAAGUACUUUCAGCGGGGAGGCGUUACCCGCAGAAGAAGCACCGGCUAACUCCGUGCCAGCAGCCGCGGUAAUUC